Ochlerotatus camptorhynchus is the source of this 111-nucleotide small nuclear RNA. The record is from RefSeq and is a predicted model, not a curated record. NCBI's taxonomy places the organism in Eukaryota, Metazoa, Arthropoda, Insecta, Diptera, Culicidae.
GUUGAAGCAUGUCCUAGGUUGACACAUACUAAAAUUGGAACGAAACUGAGAAGAUUAGCAUUGCCCCUGCGCAAGGAUGACACGCAAAAUCGUGAAGCGUUCCACAUUUUU